Molecule: unclassified non-coding RNA, 286 nt
Filed under: Glomeraceae sp.
Lineage: Eukaryota; Fungi; Glomeromycota; Glomeromycetes; Glomerales; Glomeraceae
Description: partial contains 5.8S ribosomal RNA and internal transcribed spacer 2
Rfam family: 5.8S ribosomal RNA (bases 1-65)
Source: RNAcentral
GUGAAUCAUCAAAUUUUUGAACGCAAAUUGCACUCUCUGUGGAGAGUAUGCCUGUUUGAGGGUCAGUAAUAAUAAAAUCGGGGUGUUGCUCUUUUGUGACACAACGGAGUUUGGGCUACCUUUUACUUUCGGGUUUAAAAAGCUUGAAAUUGAACUUUUGUUCGCACUUUUAGGCGUACAUAGAUUUAUUUUUAUCGUCUAUUCUGGUGCCAAUUAUCUAUUAUGUGCGAUCAUGUUUAUAUGAUCUCGUGCCCAUAGUUCUCAUCUUGUGACCUCAAAUCAGGUA